Helianthus annuus (common sunflower) is the source of this 1999-nucleotide long non-coding RNA. RefSeq lists it as uncharacterized. The record is from RefSeq and is a predicted model, not a curated record. The transcript has 6 exons. NCBI's taxonomy places the organism in Eukaryota, Viridiplantae, Streptophyta, Magnoliopsida, Asterales, Asteraceae.
UGAGGGCAUCUUCAAGAGGUGGAAGGUGAGUGUCAAAGCAACAGAGAUCUAGGGAAGGAGAGAGAGAGAACGAUGAAAGAAAUGAGAGAGGGUGACCGUUGACGGCCAUUUACUCCGGCCGACCGUCUUAGUACUCCGACGAGUAGCUUUAGGCUCGAGUAUCACACUCGAUCAUCCACAGACAAACCCCUUCUCGAUGAAUUCUCACGGUGGCGGCAGCUCUAGGGUUCCGGCUAUUAAACCCGGCGGCGACCACAACCGACGGUCCACAGAUGCGCCGUUGGACUAAGUUCCUGGGUUCUGGCCGCCAGUCAAUUUUUGGGUGAAGUCUCAGGCAUGUGUCGUUUUCUUGCAGAUUGGUAACUGCCAAGACACCUUCAGUAAGAAUUUGGCUAUACUUGAGUGAAGAUGUAAUUGCAGGCAAGUGUGAUCGAAGCAUCAUUAGAAGCUAAUCUGGGGAACUGACUUGGAUGUCAAGUGGUAAGGUAACUUUAUUUAGUAUGUCUUAAUUAUACUUGGUAUUAAACAUGCAAGCCUAUGUGCGGUUUGUUUAUUUGGCACUAUGUUAUUGGGUUUUUUUUUUUUUGUGUCCUUAUUUGUUACCUUACUUUGUUGUUAGAUUGAUGGUUUAAAAAAAGCCGUUGGGGCGCAUGCCUCGAGGUGAUGAUCCCUAUUGUAAAAGUCCCGCUUAGGCUCCGAGUACUCCCCGAGUACUCGCUACAAGGCAGGCUGCCGAGGCACAAGUACUCUUCUCCCAGGCCAAUUACUCCCCGAGUAAUCUCCGCCUAAGCCGAGUACUCCCGAAUCUGACUAGGGAGCGCCUAGCGACUUUUACAACCAUGCCUAUUCGUUAUCUUACUUUAUGUCUAUGAAUGGUAUGUGAAUGCCUAAUUUCAUGAUUAACAAAUGGGUUCGUGAAUGAAUCAAGCAUUAAUUAGUUGCAGCAAGAUUUCGAUAGCUUGAAAAUAAAACAAAAGUUUCGCGUGUCGCAUCCUCUAGAAAACGAUGUGUCGCGCCUCUGGUCUCUUCGAAUGUAAGUGGUUUGCUGACAUACGACAACCAAAAGUAAUCAUCGGCGACAGUUGAUCCUUCAAUCGCCCCCGCGCUAGCAGAGGUUGCUUCUGAUUUUUUAUCCCGGUACUAUCAACUCUCGCGGGUCACAGCUGCCCAGUGUUUUCGGUUGGAUUUCAGGUUUACAUAUAGGUUCACCGAUGGAUCCAUUAGUUCUUCAGUCUGGUUCGCGCAAUGAUUCUUCACGAAUUAAUAGAGGAUAGGAUGGGUCAGCGGAAAUGGUAAAGCUUCUCUGAGCGAGGGUAUUGAAUAGAACAAGGCGGACUGUGGCGAUGUCGUUACGAUUAACGUACGGUGCUCAGACUUCACCAAUUUUUCCGGUCAGCCGAGCCUUGAAGAUGCAAACACCGAAUUCCUUUUACUCAUUGGACUAGCACUCGAUUGCGCCUCUUUUCAACUUACGCACAUCCUGUUUACAUGCUUUUGUUGGGGUUUUUUUGGCGCAUGCAAGUUACUUUAUACACGUUAUAAUGAUAAUGGUAACCCAAUUUGAGUUCAGCCCAUCUCAACAAUAGAGGAAUUACAUUGGCCAAACUGUGCAACCAAACUGUAGACAAAUCGUGAGUAACGAUAAGAUCAACCAGCAACUAUUUCAAACUACCUGUGACGACUUACCCUCAUUUAUUUGAUUCCGUAACAUAUGAAAGGCUAAAUUAUUUUCACACAUCACCUGCAUGAUAUUUUUCAGCUGGUUUAGUUAGAGUUGGUGAAGUGGCAACUUAGGUAGUUGGUUAAAACAAUUUAGGUAGAAACCCUUGCCCAUCAAAUCCGUAGCCGAAUGAUAAUUAGGCUUCCAAGUCUUUUAUCAGGGUAUGAUUGAUUAUUGGAAACAAUUUUCUAGAAAGCACACUGCAAAGGUAUUCAUAUUUUUGGGUAUGUAAUUCACUUGAUACUUCAAAAGAAAGAACAAAUAACUGUAUUCACUUGA